GAUGAACGCUGGCGGCGUGCCUAAUACAUGCAAGUCGAGCGAACAGACGAGGAGCUUGCUCCUCUGACGUUAGCGGAGGACGGGUGAGUAACACGUGGAUAACGUACCUAUAAGACUGGGAUAACUUCGGGAAACCGGAGCUAAUACCGGAUAAUAUAUUGAACCGCAUGGUUCAAUAGUGAAAGACGGUUUUGCUGUCACUUAUAGAUGGAUCCGAGCCGGAUGAGCUAGUUGGUAAGGUAAAGGGUUUCCACGGCAACGAGGCGUAGCCGAGCGAAGAGGGUGAUCGGCCGCCCUGGAACUUGGCCACGCACAAUACUCCUGCGGGAGGCAGCAGUAGGGAAUCUUACGCAACGGUCGAAAGCAUGACGGAGCAACGCGGCGUGAGUGAUGACGGUCUUCGGAUCGUAAAACUCUGUUAUGAGGGAAGAACAAAUGUGUAAGUAACUAUGCACGUCUUGACGGUACCUAAUCAGAAAGCCACGGCUAACUACGUG
Molecule: ribosomal RNA, 497 nt
Filed under: uncultured bacterium
Lineage: Bacteria
Description: partial 16S ribosomal RNA
Rfam family: Bacterial small subunit ribosomal RNA
Source: RNAcentral